UAUCAAGCAAUGAUUAGGAUGAGUAGAUAUAUAAUAUGUAUUUUAGAGAGGAAGUGUCUGGUGAAAACUUCUUACUAUGUAUUUCGAAGCUACCUAGGAGCUAUAAUUAACUAAGAGAUGUAUAUUUAAUACAUAAUUAGGGUGGUACCGCGGAAUUUCAGCUUUCGUCCCUUUG
RNAcentral lists this non-coding RNA (175 nucleotides) under Clostridium neonatale. Its description in RNAcentral is "T-box". It matches the Rfam family "T-box leader". Rfam says of the family: Uncharged tRNA acts as the effector for transcription antitermination of genes in the T-box leader family. T-boxes are found upstream of many aminoacyl-tRNA synthetase genes and some amino acid biosynthetic genes usually in Gram-positive bacteria. Lineage: Bacteria; Bacillati; Bacillota; Clostridia; Eubacteriales; Clostridiaceae. The record is from RNAcentral.